UGGCAGUACCUGGUGUGGACAGUGAGU
RNAcentral lists this non-coding RNA (27 nucleotides) under Rattus norvegicus (Norway rat). Lineage: Eukaryota; Metazoa; Chordata; Mammalia; Rodentia; Muridae. The record is from RNAcentral.